CAUUAUUGCUGGAAUUGUAUUAUUCUCUCCUAUUGGCAGUCAAUAAAACACUCUGUUCCUCUGCAAAUUUCUUUCUUUACUUUUAAUCUCAUUCUUGUUAGUGCAAUCAUAUAUAUUGUGUCAAUAACUUCCCCGAUUUUCCAAACACUUUCUCCUUAAUAUCUGAACUACAUUUCUAUCACUAGCAAACGGCAAACCAAGGAGAUAGCACCAGUUUAUGCAGGUAUGGACAAUUUAUAAAGCACAUUAUAAUUUAUAAGAGUAUUUGAAUAUAUUGUACUAAAAUUUGGUAUUUCGGAGUAAUUAAUGAGGUGCUUUCAAUAAGAUUUCAGAUACUUUUUUUAAAUGUUAGAUACUUGAAACUCGAUCAAAUCUUUCAAUUUAGUUCAAAUAUAGUAAUUGUUCUUCGUUUUCUUUCAAUGAUUCCUAAUUUUGAAAUUGAUGGGGAUAGAUUUAAAAUAAUAUUGUGGACUCAGAUUACUUUUUGUCCUAUUACUCGAUUGAUUUAGCCUUAAUCGUAGUGUUAGCCAUAAAAAGACCCAAUCAUUUAAGAAAAUUUAUUGAGGUUAUAGUAUCAAUCUAUCCGUAUAACAUCAUGUAAUCGUGUAAAAAAGGCAGCUGAAGUUUUGUGGGGGCAAAAGAUGGGACUUGUAGGAAUGUAAUGGCCAUGAAUGUAACUUUAAAUACAAGGUUCAUAGUUAAAGAAAGCAACAAAACAUGUCAUAUGUGUCCUAACAAGAUUACAAUCGAGUGGACGAGAUGAAGACAGUCACUAGAAUGGCCCCAAUGAUGUGUAUAUGCUGACAAGCACGCGAAUGAAGAAUCAAUUCUCCAUGUUUAAAUAUGACAGCAGUUUGCUAUUGUCUGUCUACUCCUCUUGUCGUCCUGUCCAAUUUUAUAAUAAAACUAAGGCAAAUAGAUAAUAGCACUUCAAAUAUGGGCUUCCAUAGACAUGAUACGUGUGGCACAGGUUGUAAGAGUUCACGGCUUAUCAUAAAUUUGAGGUCAAGAUUCUUACUUGAAUAAAUGAAUUAUUGAAUCGCCUUGCAUUUUAAAGCUCUAAAUCUGUAAUUUCUUGUUCUCCAAUGGUUCCAAUUGCCGACUACAUUAGAAAAGGGACCAUUAUCCACAAAAUUUAAAGUGCCUAAUUUCGUGAGUUUUCAUGUUGAAAUAGUGAUUUUAGGGCCUUUCCAAUUUUGGUAUAUUUUUAAUACGAAUUUCACCAUUUUUUCUUGUCAUCUUUUACAUCUCUUUUUCUUGAAUAAUAAUUAGAGGUUACAUGACAUUUAAUGGAGGUUAUAGUUUGUAAGUUUAGUUUGUAGGUUUGUAUUUCAAAUUCAAACCACUCCCUCCAACUCUUUUUAUUAUCUUGCAGAUCGAUCACCCGAUAUGGACAACCCAUGACUUAUAUUUUCCAACACAGAGGUAUCAAGCUAGCUAACAUGAAUUCCAUGCAAGCUAUCAAGACCACAGCCUUUUAGUUUUAUGAUAAAAUUGGACAGGAUGACAACUGGUGUGGACACAACAAUAGCAAACUGCUGUCAUAUUUAAACAUGGAGAAUUGAUUCUUCAUUCACGCCAUUUGAGUGAGGUGUCUCAUUAUCUCGUGUAAAUUGUGUUAUUUAGAUUACGUAAGUAUUGAUAAAGUCAUAUUCAACUCAUAUAACUAGGGACGAAUCCAGGACUUCAACUUAGCUAGGGCAGCCGUUGAUUGUUGGCCAUUGACUGUCGAUAGUCAUCGGCCGUAUAGCGAUGCCAUUUAUUAAUAUUAAAUUAAAUAAUACUAAAAAUUCUUUGAACUAUAUAUAAAUACACUAAAACGUAAAAAUUGUAUAUUUAUAUCAUAUUAUAGUUCAAUACAAUCCGAAAUAAUAUAAAUUACAUGAUACAUAAAAUUUCUUUGUGUUAUCAAUGCUUAACAAAUCGUUUGCUUGACUAAGAGUAGUUGAGAGAUUAGAUACACCACUACAAGAACUAGAUUGAAAUUCGGAUGAAAAAAUAUUUCAUAAUCAAUAUGAGAAUUGAAAGUUAAUCAAAG
RNAcentral lists this long non-coding RNA (2038 nucleotides) under Olea europaea subsp. europaea. The record is from RNAcentral. Lineage: Eukaryota; Viridiplantae; Streptophyta; Magnoliopsida; Lamiales; Oleaceae.